CGGGACGGGUGAGUAAUGUCUGGGAAACUGCCUGAUGGAGGGGGAUAACUACUGGAAACGGUAGCUAAUACCGCAUAACGUCGCAAGACCAAAGAGGGGGACCUUCGGGCCUCUUGCCAUCGGAUGUGCCCAGAUGGGAUUAGCUAGUAGGUGGGGUAACGGCUCACCUGGGCGACGAUCCCUAGCUGGUCUGAGAGGAUGACCAGCCACACUGGAACUGAGACACGGUCCAG
This 233-nucleotide ribosomal RNA is filed under the name uncultured bacterium. RNAcentral describes it as "partial 16S ribosomal RNA". It matches the Rfam family "Bacterial small subunit ribosomal RNA", at positions 100 to 334 of the family's 1533-position model. The record is from RNAcentral.